GAUCCUGGCUCAGAAUCAACGCUGGCGGCGCGCUUAACACAUGCAAGUCGAACGAGAAAGGGGAGCAAUCCCUGAGUACAGUGGCGUACGGGUGAGUAACACGUGGAUGAUCUACCUCUUAGUGGGGGAUAUCUCUGGGAAACCGGAGUUAAUACCGCAUAAGCUCGAGAGAGGAAACGGGAAACCGGCUGAGAGAGGAGUCCGCGGCCGAUUAGCUAGUUGGUAGGGUAACGGCCUACCAAGGCGUAGAUCGGUAGCCGGCCUGAGAGGGCACACGGCCACACUGGCACUGAAACACGGGCCAGACUCCUACGGGAGGCA
RNAcentral lists this ribosomal RNA (321 nucleotides) under uncultured Acidobacteriota bacterium. RNAcentral's name for it is "bacterial SSU rRNA". It matches the Rfam family "Bacterial small subunit ribosomal RNA", at positions 15 to 350 of the family's 1533-position model. The record is from RNAcentral. Lineage: Bacteria; Pseudomonadati; Acidobacteriota.